Molecule: ribosomal RNA, 465 nt
Filed under: Vreelandella stevensii
Lineage: Bacteria; Pseudomonadati; Pseudomonadota; Gammaproteobacteria; Oceanospirillales; Halomonadaceae
Description: partial 16S ribosomal RNA
Rfam family: Bacterial small subunit ribosomal RNA
Source: RNAcentral
CCUACGGGUGGCAGCAGUGGGGAAUAUUGGACAAUGGGGGCAACCCUGAUCCAGCCAUGCCGCGUGUGUGAAGAAGGCCCUCGGGUUGUAAAGCACUUUCAGUGAGGAAGAACGCCUGGUGGUUAAUACCCAUCAGGAAAGACAUCACUCACAGAAGAAGCAACGGCUAACUCCGUGCCAGCAGCCGCGGUAAUACGGAGGGUGCGAGCGUUAAUCGGAAUUACUGGGCGUAAAGCGCGCGUAGGUGGCUUGAUAAGCCGGUUGUGAAAGCCCCGGGCUCAACCUGGGAACGGCAUCCGGAACUGUCAAGCUAGAGUGCAGGAGAGGAAGGUAGAAUUCCCGGUGUAGCGGUGAAAUGCGUAGAGAUCGGGAGGAAUACCAGUGGCGAAGGCGGCCUUCUGGACUGACACUGACACUGAGGUGCGAAAGCGUGGGUAGCAAACAGGAUUAGAUACCCGGGUAGUC